RNAcentral lists this long non-coding RNA (231 nucleotides) under Elaeis guineensis (African oil palm). Its description in RNAcentral is "long non-coding RNA (EGUI_LNC079840)". Lineage: Eukaryota; Viridiplantae; Streptophyta; Magnoliopsida; Arecales; Arecaceae. The record is from RNAcentral.
AUCGAAUCUUCUCAUGUGUGUGAUCUCAUAGGUUCGAACCUAAAUUAAUAGCAUAGUAACAACUUUCUAUACUAAUCGAUAUAACCAUCUAGCAAUAUGAUCGGAUGUCCGGAUAGGCCGAAAGAUUGCAAAACAAUAUUCUAGAAUCCACUGGCGUAUGGUUACCGUAUAAUUCAUUCUUUUGAUCCUAAUAUUCAAGAUGACCUAGAGUUUAACUGUCAAUCCUAAAAU